UCAGCAUACUGCGGUGAAUACGUUCCCGGGUCUUGUACACACCGCCCGUCACACCAUGGGAGCCGGAAUGCCCGAAGCCAGUGACCCAACCUUAGGGAGGGAGCUGUCGAAGGUGGAGCCGGUAACUGGGGUGAAGUCGUAACAAGGUAAC
This 151-nucleotide ribosomal RNA is filed under the name uncultured bacterium. Its description in RNAcentral is "partial 16S ribosomal RNA". It matches the Rfam family "Bacterial small subunit ribosomal RNA", at positions 1349 to 1500 of the family's 1533-position model. The record is from RNAcentral.